Molecule: ribosomal RNA, 493 nt
Filed under: uncultured bacterium
Lineage: Bacteria
Description: partial 16S ribosomal RNA
Rfam family: Bacterial small subunit ribosomal RNA
Source: RNAcentral
ACGCACGCUGGCGGCGUGCUUAACCCAUGCAAGUCGAACGGUGAAGCGCCUUCCUUUUUGGUGGGUGUGGAUGAGUGGCGAACGGGUGAGUAACACGUGAGUAACCUGCCCCCUUCUUCUGGAUAACCGCAUGAAAGUGUGGCUAAUACGGGAUAUUCUGGGUCUGUCGCAUGAUGGGUCUGGGAAAGAUAUUGUUUCGGUGGGGGAUGGGCUCGCGGCCUAUCAGCUUGUUGGUGGGGUGAUGGCCUACCAAGGCGGUGACGGGUAGCCGGCCUGAGAGGGUGGACGGUCACACUGGGACUGAGACACGGCCCAGACUCCUACGGGAGGCAGCAGUGGGGAAUAUUGCACAAUGGGCGCAAGCCUGAUGCAGCGACGCCGCGUGAGGGAUGGAGGCCUUCGGGUUGUGAACCUCUUUCGCCAGUGAAGCAGGCCUGCCUCGUUUGUGGGUGGGUUGACGGUAGCUGGAGAAGAAGCGCCGGCUAACUACGUG